Molecule: long non-coding RNA, 1260 nt
Organism: Canis lupus familiaris (dog)
Lineage: Eukaryota; Metazoa; Chordata; Mammalia; Carnivora; Canidae
Exons: 3
Source: RefSeq, a predicted model, not a curated record
UUUUCUGAAGUGUUCUCACAGCACUUGGCACCUGCAUCCCAGUAUUCAAAGAAAGUCCACCACACCAAACCUACGAAAAGGUGAAACAAAGCUUCAGUUAGAUUUCAAAUCAAAUUAGAACUUAGGUGAUCCUUAAAGUUCCAUUUGAAACGCAAAAUGCCACUUAUGUGAACAAGUGAACAAGCUCCAAACUGAUAACCUUCAUAUGUGAACUGAGGGGAUGUUGGAAAGGCUAACUCAAGAGUCUUAGAACCACAGAGGCGAGAGGGAGUCUUUACGGUAGAAGAACACACUGGAAGUGCAUGAAAUAAUAUUUUCUUGACUGAGAAAAGGAAGUAAUUUCGGAACAUGAAAUGGCUGGUUAUAUGGAUAUGGUGGAGGUCUCUGAAUUGCUAAGACUCUCAACAGCUGGUGAGUGGGAGAUCCUCAUGUAAACAGCCUCUUCUGAGUUCAUUCUUCCGGGCUCAUGGGACCAGUCACCUUCGCUUCAGCUGAAAAAUAAACACAUCAAGAAAAUGAAUGCUUCUCUCCUAGGGGAACACAACACAAUGAGAAUCAAUCAAUAACAAGAAAUAGCAUGGGGUCAUCUUUAGAGAAGACACUGUGAAAUGUAAGAAGGCGAAAUACACACACACAUACACAUGCACACACAUGCACACAUAUUAACAAAUAGGAAAAGAGCUUGAGUUCAAAUCUUGAUUUUUAUGCCAUUAUCAGCUAUUUGUGGUCAACUUAGUUAACUUCCAUGCCUACAUUUCCCCCUGUAUCCAAUGAAGAUAGCUAUGGUAUGGUCCUUUACAGUUGUUGUGAGGAUUAAGUGCAUUAACAAAUAUAAAGUGCUUAAAACAGUGCCUGACAUAAUAAUGAAUGUCCAGUUAGUGUUUGCCAAUAUUGGUAUCGGCAUUAUUCUUUGUUGUUUUUUUUCAACAUUAUUCUUUGAAAAAGAUGUUUUCAGAAUAGCUGAACAAUGAAGUCAAACACAUAGUGAGUCGAAUUCAAAAGUAAUCUGAAAAAUCUGAACCUUUCGCACUCUCAAAGACCCAAACCUGAAAUUCAAAUAAGACUUUGGAUUUCUCCCCGCUGUGACUCAGCAGUAGGACAGGUCAAACCAGGAUAAUAGGUGUUCUCACUGUUCAAUUCAAGAAACAGUGACUGUGUAAAGUGUACCAAAGUUGACAACUAUAUACUGUGGUUUUAUAAAAGGAUAUCCUUAUUCUUAGGAAAUAUACAAUAAAGUUGUUAGGACUAAAGGGUGAUGGU